This 468-nucleotide ribosomal RNA is filed under the name uncultured bacterium. Its description in RNAcentral is "partial 16S ribosomal RNA". It matches the Rfam family "Bacterial small subunit ribosomal RNA", at positions 28 to 507 of the family's 1533-position model. The record is from RNAcentral.
GACGAACGCUGGCGGCGUGCUUAACACAUGCAAGUCGAACGGAAAGGCCCUGCUUUUGUGGGGUGCUCGAGUGGCGAACGGGUGAGUAACACGUGAGUAACCUGCCCUUGACUUUGGGAUAACUUCAGGAAACUGGGGCUAAUACCGGAUAGGAGCUCCUGCUGCAUGGUGGGGGUUGGAAAGUUUCGGCGGUUGGGGAUGGACUCGCGGCUUAUCAGCUUGUUGGUGGGGUAGUGGCUUACCAAGGCUUUGACGGGUAGCCGGCCUGUGAGGGUGACCGGCCACAUUGGGACUGAGAUACGGCCCAGACUCCUACGGGAGGCAGCAGUGGGGAAUAUUGCACAAUGGGCGGAAGCCUGAUGCAGCAACGCCGCGUGCGGGAUGACGGCCUUCUGGUUGUAAACCGCUUUCGCCUGUGACGAAGCGUGAGUGACGGUAAUGGGUAAAGAAGCACCGGCUAACUACGUG